CACUGACAUUAGAUACCCGCGUAGUCCAGGGUGUAAACGCUGCAGACUUGGUGUUGGAAGCCCUUUGGGGGCAUUCAGUGCCGGAGAGAAGUUGUUAAGUCUGCUACUUGGGAGUACGUCCGCAAGGAUGAAACUUAAAGGAAUUGGCGGGGGAGCACCGCAACGGGAGGAGCGUGCGGUUUAAUUGGAUUCAACACCGUAAACUCACCAGGGAAGACUGUUACAUGAAAGCCGAGAUGAAGACUCUGCUAGAUUUUCAG
This 260-nucleotide ribosomal RNA is filed under the name uncultured archaeon. Its description in RNAcentral is "partial 16S ribosomal RNA". It matches the Rfam family "Archaeal small subunit ribosomal RNA", at positions 720 to 982 of the family's 1478-position model. The record is from RNAcentral.